Molecule: long non-coding RNA, 2111 nt
Organism: Bos taurus (domestic cattle)
Lineage: Eukaryota; Metazoa; Chordata; Mammalia; Artiodactyla; Bovidae
Source: Ensembl
UAUGGCACCUGGAGAGUGGUUCAAGAAAAUCAGCUCCCCGUGCACCGCUCGGAGGCGGGUUGAGCUGCAGGUUUCUGUCUCCAUCUCCCAUUUCCUUCAGUUUCUAAAAUUAUUAGUGCUGAGCCUGGAAGAGUUUCCAGCUGAUCCUUACACCCUGGAGAAGAUUGCAUUUAAGUUACUCCCACCACCACCAUCUCCGCCUCCAGUUCCUGCAGGCCUGGGCAGACCCAGCUGAGAAGAGAAUGAACUUGCAAACUUGAUUCAACCACAGGCCUUGUGCCGUGACCAAUAAAGGAUGCUCCUGCAAGCAGCUCCCCAGCUCUCCCCAGACCUGCCACCACCACCUCCAUCAUCUCCACCUGCCAGUCUGCCUGACUCCAUCUGCAGAGGAGAGACACGGCUGGAAACUGAGAGAGGAGGCUUCACAGGGCCCCACUGCCUGGACCACGGGCGCUGGGUUAGAGCAAGGCAGCCCUUCAUCAUUUCUAGCAAACUCCGUUUCCUACUUGGCAGGGGGCACUGCUCCUCUCUGGGCACCUUGGAGUCUCCUGCCUUCCAGGAAAAACAUCAGGGAAACCUUGGGUCACCUCGCUUGGCUGACAUCACCCAUCUAGACCUCAUCCAGUCCCAGGUCCCGCAAAAACAAAAGCCGUUGGACCUCAAAGGGUUGCCCUUCUUUCAGCCAGAAUACCUCUCGAAAAUGAUCUUCUUGAUGAGAGAGAUCUCUCUGUGCUGAGGUGGGCAGAUAAAUUAAGUUAAAAAAUGGAAAAUAUCAACACACUGCUCAAUCCAGCUCCGCGUUUUAUUUUUUGGCCGCUCCACACAGCAUGGGGGAUCUUAGUUCCCCAGCCAGGGAUCGAACCCACACCCCCUGCACUGGAAACUUGGAGUAGUUCUGACCAUUGGACUUCCAGGAAAUCCACCCCCUCUCCAACCUACUUUUUAAAAAUACACACUUUAAAAAAAGAAAAAGCUGUCAGAAUAUUAGCCAAAAGCAUUCCCUUUGGUUAUGUCUGAGGGUGGGAUGACAGAGGACAUUCUAUGCUCCAUGUUUCUACGAUGUUUUCAUUGAAGGAUUGCUUAUGUAGUCAGGAAUAACAGAGUGUUUGAAAAGGGGAAUGGCGAGGGGUUCUUGGGGUCCUUGAUGUCUUGAGAAGCCAGGUGGGUUGACAGGCAGGAUUCUAGAACAGUUCAUUCAAGAGUCUGAGAGACCACUUUCCCCAGGUUGGGGAAAUUUCAGCCUUUGGUCCAGGACUGAGUCAUCCUGAAGCAGAAAGGAAAAUUGAGUGAUGCUAAAGAAAUCUGAGCACUGAAGAACUGAUGCUCAUGAACUGUGGUGUUGGAGAAGACUCUUUAGAGUCCCUUGGACUGCAAGGAGAUCCAACCAGUCCAUCCUAAAGGAAAUCAACCCUGAAUAUUCAUUGGAAGGACUGAUACUGAAGCUGAGGUUCCCAUACUUUGGCCACCUGAUGUGCAGAGCUGACUCAUUGGAAAAGACCCUAAUGUUGGGAAAGAUUGAAGGCAGGAGGAGAAGGGGACGACAGAGGAUGAGAUGGUUGGAUGGCAUCACCGACUCGAUGGACAUGAGUCUGAGCAAGCUGUGGAAGAUGGUGAAGGGAUAGGAAGCCUGGCGUGCUGCAGUCCAUGGGGUCACAAAGAGUCGGACACGACCGAGUGACUGAACAACAACAGAAGAAAUCAUCGCUUCAUCUCUCUUCUUAAAAGUGUGUGUCUGCACUGCUAUAGUUAUUAAUAAGAUGGAUAACAAGGACCUACUGUACAACACAGGGAACUCUGCUCAAUGUUAUGUAGCAGCCUGGAUGGGAGGGAGUUUGGGGGAGAAUGGAUACAUGUGUAUGUAUGGCUGAGUCCCUUUGCUCUUCGCCUGAAAGUGUCACAACAUUGUUAAUUGGCUAUACUCCAAUAUAAAAAAAGUUCAAAUAAAUUCCUAACGUGAUGCUGUGUCGAGAAGCAUACACAAGAACAGGUGCUAGUCUUUCUGUCCAGGAAGUGGAGCCAGGUGGCCAGGGGUGGUGAGGACCAAGAUAGAGGUUUCACUCUACCUUUUCUGGUACGUUUUGAAUUAUAAACCAUGUGUAUGUAUUACCUAC